UUAUCUUUUCGCCUUCUUAUGUCUAAUUUGGCUGAUUAAAUAUUGAUUCUAACUCUGUUUUACAUAUUAAUAUGCUUUAUUAAUGAGAAUAACGCGUUUUUGUUACAUGAAGCUCACAGAACUCGCUAAUACAAGAGUCUCAAACAAGGUAGCAAAGAAUUAAUGCAUGAUUCUAACAUUCAUGAUAGGAGAGAGACCAGCCUUGGUAUAUCCACAAACACAUAAGCUUUUAUUAAAACCAAACAUGACAUACACACAUCUAGAGUACAACUCUUUUCUAUAUCACUCACAUAUAUUGGGCUACGCUCCUUGUUUAUUGUAUCAUACACAAGAACAUGCGUGCUUCAUAACUGACAUAUACACAUUAUUGGAUAGAUACUCAAUUAAAGAGUACUCUCUAUUCCUCGUUCAGGAGAUGUUCAUCGAUCUCUUUGGAGACUUGGACACAGAAAUCAAGGAAGGUCUCAGGGUGAGCCACUUUGUCGUCAAUUUUCUCAUACUCGACGUGCCAGUGCACC
RNAcentral lists this long non-coding RNA (518 nucleotides) under Arabidopsis lyrata. RNAcentral's name for it is "long non-coding RNA (ALYR_LNC000156)". Lineage: Eukaryota; Viridiplantae; Streptophyta; Magnoliopsida; Brassicales; Brassicaceae. The record is from RNAcentral.